AGCUGCAAAAGUCGUGGUGGCAUCACAAGUUGUCUUGCCAUCCGACAUUUGUGGUUGA
Caenorhabditis briggsae is the source of this 58-nucleotide microRNA precursor. It matches the Rfam family "mir-7583 microRNA precursor family". NCBI's taxonomy places the organism in Eukaryota, Metazoa, Nematoda, Chromadorea, Rhabditida, Rhabditidae. The record is from Rfam.